Long non-coding RNA from Magnolia sinica, 302 nucleotides. RefSeq lists it as uncharacterized. The record is from RefSeq and is a predicted model, not a curated record. The transcript has 3 exons. NCBI's taxonomy places the organism in Eukaryota, Viridiplantae, Streptophyta, Magnoliopsida, Magnoliales, Magnoliaceae.
AGCUGGAUUGAGGAAAUCAAUCAACGGCAAGCAGAAGUACAAGAUGCCCAACUGACGGUUGAGCAGCUUCAACAACAAUAUCAGUUGCUCAGGGCCCAAAAUGAGAUGUUGAAGUUGGUUGCAGUAUGCUGAGCGGAUUCCUAUUGGGUUGGAAAAGGUGAUUCGAACAGUUUCUUCUAAAACGGUCAAGCAAUUUUAUAAUAGAUGGUACCAUUUACACAAUAUGGCUGUGGUCGCUCUUGGAGAUUUUACUGAUACACAGUGUAGUUGAAUUGAUAAGGACUCACUUUGGGGGAAAAGUU